Long non-coding RNA from Oncorhynchus tshawytscha (Chinook salmon), 1576 nucleotides. Lineage: Eukaryota; Metazoa; Chordata; Actinopteri; Salmoniformes; Salmonidae. The record is from Ensembl.
CUUUAGUUUAGUAUCCAGUUAUAACACAUGACUUUAGUUUAGUAUCCAGUUAUAACACAUGACUUUAGUUUAGUAUCCAGUUAUAACACAUGAAUUGAGUUUAGUAUCCAGUUAUAACACAUGACUUUAGUUUAGUAUCCAGUUAUAACACAUGACUUUAGUUUAGUAUCCAGUUAUAACACAUGACUUUAGUUUAGUAUCCAGUUAUAACACAUGACUUGAGUUUAGUAUCCAGUUAUAACACAUGACUUGAGUUUAGUAUCCAGUUAUAACACAUGACUUUAGUUUAGUAUCCAGUUAUUACACAUGACUUUAGUUUAGUAUCCAGUUAUAACACAUGACUUUAGUUUAGUAUCCAGUUAUUACACAUGAAUUGAGUUUAGCAACAAAAGCACAUGUAUAGAACAUGUAUGGACAUGUGUUUCAGGGACUUCAGGAGAACAACACAACAGACAACAGACAACGGUUCUGCAGGUAGUGGAGAACAACACAACAGACAACACAGACAACGGUUCUGUAGGUAGUGGAGAACAACACAACAGACAACACAGACAACGGUUCUGUAGGUAGUGGAGAACAACACAACAGACAACACAGACAACGGUUCUGCAGGUAGUGGAGAACAACACAACAGACAACAGACAACGGUUCUGUAGGUAGUGGAGAACAACACAACAGACAACAGACAACGGUUCUGCAGGUAGUGGAGAACAACACAACAGACAACAGACAACGGUUCUGCAGGUAGUGGAGAACAACACAACAGACAACACAGACAACGGUUCUGUAGGUAGUGGAGAACAACACAACAGACAACACAGACAACGGUUCUGCAGGUACGACAUAUGAGUAGACAGUUUAAUAGAUCCUGUAUAUGCAAGCAUCAUAGCAUACCAGUGAUGAUACGGAAGGCAGUGGCAGGAAGAUCAGGUUAGAAACCUGCCCAGAUAAAUGGACUGAUUUGGUGUUCCUGUCUCCACUUGUCUCUUUAGUCUCUGCUAUUCCGAAAUGUCUGCAUGCUUUUCCAGCACUUUUUCAUGUCAACAUAGUUUAACACCAGAUUGCUGACUAACACCAAAAUGGUUAGUAUGGACAUAUUAGUCCUUGUGUGUAUCCUGUGGUCUGGGAAUUGGAGGGGUUAACACUUCCUGCCAAGCCACAUAUUUAAACUCUAUUCUUCAGUAGGUGCUACUCGAGAGCGGCGAGACUCAGAGCAAACAACUAGUAUUGUAAAGGGAUAAUCCCUAUGGAACACCUGCCAACAUCAUCUGUGUGCUUACAGUUGCUCAUAUUCCCUCUUUUUCUAAACGUGUUGGGAGAAUGACUCUUCAGUCACCGAUAUGUCACCGAUAUGACAUCACACUCUCCCUGGCGGCAGGGUAGCCUAGUGGUUAGAGCGUUGGACUAGUAACCGGAAGGUGGGUUCUGAUAUGCUAAAGAGAAGACCUGGCAACAUUCUCUAGUGGUUCUGAUAUGCUAAAGAGAACACCUGGCAACAUUCUCUAGUGGUUCUGAUAUGCUAAAGAGAACACCUGGCAACAUUCUCUAGUGGUUCUGAUAUGCUAAAGAGAACACC